Non-coding RNA from Rattus norvegicus (Norway rat), 1976 nucleotides. The record is from RefSeq and is a predicted model, not a curated record. Lineage: Eukaryota; Metazoa; Chordata; Mammalia; Rodentia; Muridae.
AAAGAAUUCAACAAAUAGUCAACCACAGGCCAAGAUCUGUGGUGUUUACUUACAGAAGUAUGCUCAGACCAGAUGACCAGAGACAUGCCAACCCAAGGGGACUUGGAAUUUCUGGAUUUGGAAGGCCACAAGACUCUAGAUUUCAGCGUAUAGUCCUUGGUUCCAUUGAUCUUGGGCUAUGAAGAUCAUCACAGUAGCAGAAGCACGUGAAGAACAAGACCAUUCGUCUCCUACCAGGUAAAAACCAAAGAGCGAGACAGGUACUUGGGGCCACAUAGGACCAAGCUUUUAAGACACAUGAUCCAUUUCAUCUAACGAGGCUCCACCUUCUAAAAUUCCUACAGCUUCCCCAAAUACUGUCUCCAGCUGGUUGCCACCAUGCUCAACAUGUGAGCCUGUGGAAGGACAUUUCAUAUCAACCCAUAGUCCACCCUUAUCCCCAAAGUCCUCAUGGCCACGAUUUAGUGCAAAAUAUAUUUAAUCCAUUUUCAAAUACCCAUAAUCUUAACAUUUCCAACAUUCUUCAGAAAUGCAACUCUAGAGUCUCUACCAAGACUCAACGCAAUCUUUUAGCUAUGAUCCCUGCAAAAAAAUUUUUUUAAAGUCACUUUAAUAUACACAUUCUUUUUCCAAAGGGCAUAGAGAGAGGGAUGAAACCAAAGCAAGAACAGAGCCCAACAGGGCAAGCCAUAAACCCAGUGGCUCUGUGUCUGUAUCCAGAGCCAUGGUGACAUCACCUCAGCUCUAAAGGGCUUAGGUGGCUCCUCCACCUAGGACCUUUGUAGACUACAUGGCCUCUUCUCUUGAGCUGGCUGCACUCAUUAUCUGCAAUACAUCCAACAAUCUUGACAUCUCCAGAACCCUAGAGUCUCCCUGGCAGAUUAGAUUUCUCUCAGAAUCUUCAUGCGUUGUUUGCUCUGGCAACCCCGAUGGGAGUUCCAAACCCACCACACAUUGGUUAGCCUCCUUGGCUGUCCCUUGAUAUCUGUUUGGAAGCCUAUAUGACUCUGCAAUCUUUGCACCCUGCAUGACUGCAAAAGCAAGGCCACAUGGAUGUAGACAAGGUUGGCCAUCAGCCUGAGCAGAAAAUAGGUCCCUUGCACCAUAGUGGUAGCGACCACUGAGUGACUGAGCCAGGAAAAACACUUCUCUAGUCACCUCUGUGUGUACACGGUACUCAUGAGCUCUCCCCUCAGAGCAAAAUUUUUCAAAUGAGUUACACCCCUUUACAUCUUUGAUGGCAUCAUGGGUGGAACCUAGCUAAUUCUGGAGACAUCCUCAUGGAGUCCUUCCCAUUGUUCCAGGCCAAAGUACAUGGCUUCUUUCUCUUGGGAGUAAUGUCUUUAACAACUAAACCCUCGUCUGCAACUUCAAUAUGUUCCUCAUGGUUGGGUGGGAGACUCAUGUUCCAGCCCCUUUCAUGGCUAUAGUAAAACUUUGAGGGGAGUGGGGGACAGCCUUCCCUUUAAACUACAAACAACCUUUAUUGUCAUAGUAAUCAGAUUUGCAUUCUUUAUAUGUUCUUUGGGUGAAUAAUCAUCACAUGGAUGGUGUACUGUUGGCAUCCUCAACGAAUGGACAGGGCACAAUAGGCAUUUUAGAGAGAAAAGUGCCAAAGAGCUUCUCAUGGUGUACCAGCUGCUUCUUCCUGGUUCAGCAGACCCAUGCCAUUCAGAGGAGCCUUGCAGUUUCUUCUGGAUCAAGCCGCUGCUACUGAUUUAUGUUUGGUAUUUUGGACUGGACUGUUGUUCUGACAACAAAGACUGGAAUCGACCUAGAGAAUUACUUCUAAACAGGACCACAUCCCCCAUCGCCCAUUAAUCUUUCUUUUCCCUACCUCUGGUAGAUUGGCUAGAAGGGAGGUUGAAGAGUUUAAAAUUCCUUAUUAAAGUAGGUUUUGAAAAACCUAAACCUACAAAUUAUGAUUUAACUGGAAAUUUCAGAUGCAGGAAAAUUAAAAGAAAAACAAAACAAAA